GUGUGGAUACAGUGAAAGGGGAAAUGGGCGAGCAACACCAAAAGUCAUGUGGCCAGGACUUAAUAAAAGCCUGAAGUUUUGAAGAUGUGGUAAAUGGGAAUCAGCCAGAGAUGGAGGCUAUGGAAAUGGAAGAGAGUAUCAAAAAUUGGAUUCAUCCCUCUGGGAGACUUGAGAAAGAUGUAAAAUCCAAGGAAUGUAUCACCCCCUUAAGGAAAUAAAUAGUUCCAACAUCGUGAAUACUCAAAGGAAGAACGGACAUAUUUUUGUGAGAUAUAUCAUAAAACAAGCAUUAGUCUGUUUAUUCUUAUUAGAACAUCCCUUUCUUGUUUGGAUCAUGUAAAAUCCAUUUGGAUAGCUAAAUUUGCUUCUUGUGCAAUACAUCAUAAAACUAAUGAUGUUCUGUAAUUUUAUG
Molecule: long non-coding RNA, 412 nt
Organism: Crotalus tigris (Tiger rattlesnake)
Lineage: Eukaryota; Metazoa; Chordata; Lepidosauria; Squamata; Viperidae
Exons: 3
Source: RefSeq, a predicted model, not a curated record